GUUGUAGAAUAAUCGACUCGUUUAGCCAUUCUCAUUUUCGAGAUUAUCGAAGCUACCGUGAGCUCGGGGAUCGUUAAGGAUCAUUGUCACACUAUCGAACGAUAUUUUGGUACUUUUGAAGUUGUAAAUAUUAAUGUAUGGCAUGUAUAGGCUAGUGAGUAAAUGAUAUGUUUUGUGUUAAGAUUAUAGCCAUGAGAUUUGGCUUAUUUUUGGUUGGAAAUGUUGUUAUGUUUUUAGCUAUAUAA
Gossypium arboreum is the source of this 245-nucleotide long non-coding RNA. RefSeq lists it as uncharacterized. The transcript is spliced from 2 exons. The record is from RefSeq and is a predicted model, not a curated record. NCBI's taxonomy places the organism in Eukaryota, Viridiplantae, Streptophyta, Magnoliopsida, Malvales, Malvaceae.